CUGAUAGUUUGUAUUUAUUUGGGAUAGGAUUUAGUGUUUAUUAUCCUCUCUCUUGUGUUUUAUUCUAGGUGAAUCAUUGGAUCACUCAACUUUUGAACUCCAACUUUGUGUUUAUCUUGAAAAAUUUUCAUUUAUCAAUAUAGAGUUUGUGUUUAUUAUUUACAGUUUCUGUUUAUCUACAUAAAGAUUCGAAUUAUGAUC
This 201-nucleotide long non-coding RNA is filed under the name Elaeis guineensis (African oil palm). RNAcentral's name for it is "long non-coding RNA (EGUI_LNC037138)". Lineage: Eukaryota; Viridiplantae; Streptophyta; Magnoliopsida; Arecales; Arecaceae. The record is from RNAcentral.